AAAUUGAAGAGUUUGAUCAUGGCUCAGAUUGAACGCUGGCGGCAGGCCUAACACAUGCAAGUCGAACGGUAACAGGAAGCAGCUUGCUGCUUCGCUGACGAGUGGCGGACGGGUGAGUAAUGUCUGGGAAACUGCCUGAUGGAGGGGGAUAACUACUGGAAACGGUGGCUAAUACCGCAUAACGUCGCAAGACCAAAGAGGGGGACCUUCGGGCCUCUUGCCAUCAGAUGUGCCCAGAUGGGAUUAGCUAGUU
This 253-nucleotide ribosomal RNA is filed under the name Salmonella enterica. Its description in RNAcentral is "partial 16S ribosomal RNA". It matches the Rfam family "Bacterial small subunit ribosomal RNA", at positions 1 to 250 of the family's 1533-position model. RNAcentral also lists the same sequence under 4 other names. The record is from RNAcentral. Lineage: Bacteria; Pseudomonadati; Pseudomonadota; Gammaproteobacteria; Enterobacterales; Enterobacteriaceae.